AAACAGUUAGUUUAAAAAAAAUAUUUGAUUUCGACUCAAAAGCUUGUGGUCAAAUUCCGCAGCUGUUUA
RNAcentral lists this transfer RNA (69 nucleotides) under Cynoglossus roulei. RNAcentral describes it as "tRNA-Arg". It matches the Rfam family "tRNA". Rfam says of the family: Transfer RNA (tRNA) molecules are approximately 80 nucleotides in length. Their secondary structure includes four short double-helical elements and three loops (D, anti-codon, and T loops). Lineage: Eukaryota; Metazoa; Chordata; Actinopteri; Pleuronectiformes; Cynoglossidae. The record is from RNAcentral.